This 1021-nucleotide ribosomal RNA is filed under the name uncultured archaeon. RNAcentral describes it as "bacterial SSU rRNA". It matches the Rfam family "Archaeal small subunit ribosomal RNA". The record is from RNAcentral.
UUCCGGUUGAUCCUGCCGGAGGCCAUUGCUAUCGGGGUCCGAUUUAGCCAUGCUAGUCGCACGAGUUCAGACUCGUGGCGCAUAGCUCCGUAACACGUGGCCAAACUCCCCUUCGGAGGAGCACAACCUCGGGAAACUGAGGCUAAUUCUCCAUACGACACUCGGCCUGGAAUGGUGAGUGUCCGAAAUGCUUCCGCGCCGAAGGAUGUGGCUGCGGCCGAUUAGGUAGACGGUGGGGUAACGGCCCACCGUGCCGAUAAUCGGUACGGGUUGUGAGAGCAAGAGCCCGGAGACGGAAUCUGAGACAAGAUUCCGGGCCCUACGGGGCGCAGCAGGCGCGAAACCUUUACACUGCACGCCAGUGCGAUAAGGGGAUCCCGAGUGCGCAGGCAUAGAGCCUGCGCUUUUCUGAACUGUAGGGAGGUUCAGGAAGAAGAGCUGGGCAAGACCGGUGCCAGCCGCCGCGGUAAUACCGGCAGCUCGAGUGAUGGCCGAUCUUAUUGGGCCUAAAGCGUCCGUAGCUGGCCUAGCAAGUCCGUCGGGAAAUCCACCCGCUCAACGGGUGGGCGUCCGGCGGAAACUGCGAGGCUUGGGACCGGGAGGCUUGAAGGGUACGUCCGGGGUAGGAGUGAAAUCCCGUAAUCCUGGACGGACCGCCGAUGGGGAAACCACUUCAAGAGAACGGAUCCGACAGUGAGGGACGAAAGCUAGGGUCUCGAACCGGAUUAGAUACCCGGGUAGUCCUAGCUGUAAACGAUGCCUGUUAGGUGUGACUCCCACUACGAGUGGGUGUUGUGCCGUAGGGAAGCCGCUAAACAGGCCGCCGGGGAAGUACUUCGGCCGGGAUGAAGCUUAAAGGAAUUUUUGGGGGGAUGGGACUCAUAAGGAUCCCCGGGUACCAACCCGGGAUUCGAAACCCUGGGUCUUACAUGUUUGUUUGCUGAAUUGUCAUUGGGGUCAAAUAUUCACUCCCACCACACAACUCGAAACCAAAAGUAGUAAGUAUAAGAGGUGGGGGAGG